AUUGAACGCUGGCGGCAGGCCUAACACAUGCAAGUCGAGUGAGCGGCGGACGGGUGAGUAAUGUCUGGGGACUGCCCGAUAGAGGGGGAUAACUACUGGAAACGGUAGCUAAUACCGCAUACUAUCGGAUAACCCAUAUGGGAUUAGCUAGUAGGUGGGGUAAUGGCUCACCUAGGCGACGAUCCCUAGCUGGUCUGAGAGGAUGAUCAGCCACACUGGGACUGAGACACGGCCCAGACUCCUACGGAGGCAGCAGUGGGGAAUAUUGCACAAUGGGCGCAAGCCUGAUGCAGCCAUGCCGCGUGUAUGAAGAAGGCCCUAGGGUUGUAAAGUACUUUCAGUCGGGAGGCGUUACCGACAGAAGAAGCACCGGCUAACUCCGUGCCAGCAGCCGCGGUAAUUC
Molecule: ribosomal RNA, 403 nt
Filed under: uncultured bacterium
Lineage: Bacteria
Description: partial 16S ribosomal RNA
Rfam family: Bacterial small subunit ribosomal RNA
Source: RNAcentral